GGUUAAGUUAGAAAGGGCGCACGGUGGAUGCCUUGACACUAGGAGUCGAUGAAGGACGGGACUAACGCCGAUAUGCUUCGGGGAGCUGUAAGUAAGCUUUGAUCCGAAGAUUUCCGAAUGGGGAAACCCACCAUACGUAAUGGUAUGGUAUCCUUACCUGAAUACAUAGGGUAAGGAAGACAGACCCAGGGAACUGAAACAUCUAAGUACCUGGAGGAAGAGAAAGCAAAUGCGAUUUCCUGAGUAGCGGCGAGCGAAACGGAACAUAGCCCAAACCAAGAGGCUUGCCUCUUGGGGUUGUAGGACAUUCUAUACGGAGUUACAAAGGAACGAGGUAGACGAAGCGACCUGGAAAGGUCCGUCGUAGAGGGUAACAACCCGUAGUCGAAACUUCGUUCUCUCUUGAAUGUAUCCUGAGUACGGCGGAACACGUGAAAUUCCGUCGGAAUCUGGGAGGACCAUCUCCCAAGGCUAAAUACUCCCUAGUGAUCGAUAGUGAACCAGUACCGUGAGGGAAAGGUGAAAAGCACCCCGGAAGGGGAGUGAAAGAGAUCCUGAAACCGUGUGCCUACAAAUAGUCAGAGCCCGUUAACGGGUGAUGGCGUGCCUUUUGUAGAAUGAACCGGCGAGUUACGAUCCCGUGCGAGGUUAAGCUGAAGAGGCGGAGCCGCAGCGAAAGCGAGUCUGAAUAGGGCGUUUAGUACGUGGUCGUAGACCCGAAACCAGGUGAUCUACCCAUGUCCAGGGUGAAGUUCAGGUAACACUGAAUGGAGGCCCGAACCCACGCACGUUGAAAAGUGCGGGGAUGAGGUGUGGGUAGCGGAGAAAUUCCAAUCGAACCUGGAGAUAGCUGGUUCUCCCCGAAAUAGCUUUAGGGCUAGCCUUAAGUGUAAGAGUCUUGGAGGUAGAGCACUGAUUGGACUAGGGGUCCUCAUCGGAUUACCGAAUUCAGUCAAACUCCGAAUGCCAAUGACUUAUCCUUAGGAGUCAGACUGCGAGUGAUAAGAUCCGUAGUCAAAAGGGAAACAGCCCAGACCGCCAGCUAAGGUCCCAAAGUGUGUAUUAAGUGGAAAAGGAUGUGGAGUUGCUUAGACAACUAGGAUGUUGGCUUAGAAGCAGCCACCAUUUAAAGAGUGCGUAAUAGCUCACUAGUCGAGUGACUCUGCGCCGAAAAUGUACCGGGGCUAAAUACACCACCGAAGCUGCGGAUUGAUACCAAUGGUAUCAGUGGUAGGGGAGCGUUCUAAGGACAGUGAAGUCAGACCGGAAGGACUGGUGGAGUGCUUAGAAGUGAGAAUGCCGGUAUGAGUAGCGAAAGACGGGUGAGAAUCCCGUCCACCGAAUGCCUAAGGUUUCCUGAGGAAGGCUCGUCCGCUCAGGGUUAGUCAGGACCUAAGCCGAGGCCGACAGGCGUAGGCGAUGGACAACAGGUUGAUAUUCCUGUACCACCUCUUUAUCGUUUGAGCAAUGGAGGGACGCAGAAGGAUAGAAGAAGCGUGCGAUUGGUUGUGCACGUCCAAGCAGUUAGGCUGAUAAGUAGGCAAAUCCGCUUAUCGUGAAGGCUGAGCUGUGAUGGGGAAGCUCCUUAUGGAGCGAAGUCUUUGAUUCCCCGCUGCCAAGAAAAGCUUCUAGCGAGAUAAAAGGUGCCUGUACCGCAAACCGACACAGGUAGGCGAGGAGAGAAUCCUAAGGUGUGCGAGAGAACUCUGGUUAAGGAACUCGGCAAAAUGACCCCGUAACUUCGGGAGAAGGGGUGCUUUCUUAACGGAAAGCCGCAGUGAAUAGGCCCAAGCGACUGUUUAGCAAAAACACAGCUCUCUGCGAAGCCGUAAGGCGAAGUAUAGGGGGUGACACCUGCCCGGUGCUGGAAGGUUAAGGAGAGGGGUUAGCGUAAGCGAAGCUCUGAACUGAAGCCCCAGUAAACGGCGGCCGUAACUAUAACGGUCCUAAGGUAGCGAAAUUCCUUGUCGGGUAAGUUCCGACCCGCACGAAAGGUGUAACGAUUUGGGCACUGUCUCAACCAGAGACUCGGUGAAAUUAUAGUACCUGUGAAGAUGCAGGUUACCCGCGACAGGACGGAAAGACCCCGUGGAGCUUUACUGUAGCCUGAUAUUGAAUUUUGGUACAGUUUGUACAGGAUAGGCGGGAGCCUUUGAAACCGGAGCGCUAGCUUCGGUGGAGGCGCUGGUGGGAUACCGCCCUGACUGUAUUGAAAUUCUAACCUACGGGUCUUAUCGACCCGGGAGACAGUGUCAGGUGGGCAGUUUGACUGGGGCGGUCGCCUCCUAAAGUGUAACGGAGGCGCCCAAAGGUUCCCUCAGAAUGGUUGGAAAUCAUUCGUAGAGUGCAAAGGCAUAAGGGAGCUUGACUGCGAGACCUACAAGUCGAGCAGGGACGAAAGUCGGGCUUAGUGAUCCGGUGGUUCCGCAUGGAAGGGCCAUCGCUCAACGGAUAAAAGCUACCCCGGGGAUAACAGGCUUAUCUCCCCCAAGAGUCCACAUCGACGGGGAGGUUUGGCACCUCGAUGUCGGCUCAUCGCAUCCUGGGGCUGUAGUCGGUCCCAAGGGUUGGGCUGUUCGCCCAUUAAAGCGGUACGCGAGCUGGGUUCAGAACGUCGUGAGACAGUUCGGUCCCUAUCCGUCGUGGGCGUAGGAAAUUUGAGAGGAGCUGUCCUUAGUACGAGAGGACCGGGAUGGACGCACCGCUGGUGUACCAGUUGUUCUGCCAAGGGCAUAGCUGGGUAGCUAUGUGCGGAAGGGAUAAGUGCUGAAAGCAUCUAAGCAUGAAGCCCCCCUCAAGAUGAGAUUUCCCAUAGCGUAAGCUAGUAAGAUCCCUGAAAGAUGAUCAGGUUGAUAGGUUCGAGGUGGAAGCAUGGUGACAUGUGGAGCUGACGAAUACUAAUAGAUCGAGGACUUAACCAU
Molecule: ribosomal RNA, 2921 nt
Filed under: Bacillus cereus
Lineage: Bacteria; Bacillati; Bacillota; Bacilli; Caryophanales; Bacillaceae
Description: 23S ribosomal RNA
Rfam family: Bacterial large subunit ribosomal RNA
Source: RNAcentral